UUGCGUAGGUGGUUUGUUAAGUGGGUAGUGAAAUCUAGCGGCUCAACCGUAUAGGCUAUUACCUAAACUGGCAAACUCGAGAAUGGUAGAGGUAACUGGAAUUUCUUGUGUAGGAGUGAAAUCCGUAGAUAUAAGAAGGAACACCAAUGGCGUAGGCAGGUUACUGGACCAUUUCUGACACUGAGGCACGAAAGCGUGGGGAGCGAAG
Molecule: ribosomal RNA, 208 nt
Filed under: uncultured bacterium
Lineage: Bacteria
Description: partial 16S ribosomal RNA
Rfam family: Bacterial small subunit ribosomal RNA
Source: RNAcentral